RNAcentral lists this long non-coding RNA (21613 nucleotides) under Malus domestica (apple). Its description in RNAcentral is "long non-coding RNA (MDOM_LNC001252)". Lineage: Eukaryota; Viridiplantae; Streptophyta; Magnoliopsida; Rosales; Rosaceae. The record is from RNAcentral.
CAGGCCCAAAAGCACAUACUUUUCGAGUAAGCACGUGAAUUUAUAAACAUUUCUACAUGAAUCACUCCUGGCAGAGGUGCUUACAGCAAAAGCACACCCAAAAGCACGUACUUUUUCCAGUAAGCACUUGAAAUAACAAAAAAAUUGUGCAUGUUUAUGAUAAAAUCACUUCCAGCAGAAGUGCUUACAACAUAAGCAGACCCAACAGCACAUACUUUUCGAGUAAACACUUGAAUUAUUAAACAUUUCUACAUGUUCAUGAUAAAAGCACUUCUAGCAGAAGUGAUUGAUUAUACCUAAGCAGACCCAAACCAAUCCGAAAUUAUUAAAAAAAAAACAAAAUGCUUGAGGGGGUUUGUUUCUGACCUGAGCGCGUAAAUGAGAGAGCCGCCGGACAAAGCGACGGUGAAAGCUCCCCUCUCCUUCACAAACUUGGCCGACAGGUCGGCGGUGUACUUCGCCAGACGCACCGCCACUUCCUCCGCCGUCUGAAACUUCUCCACCUUCUUCUGACACUGACCAGCCAUCUCUGCUGCCGCCGAUGAUGCCGAUGAUGCGGAAAUUGGGUUCUUGAAAUUCAAGCGAACGGGUUUAAUCGAGAGGGAUAGAGAUCUUGGCGCCGAUCGCAAUAAGAUUAUCGCCGGCGCGCGAGAUGUACGCGAUGAGGAGAGAGUCGUGCCGAGUGAGAGGGAAAGACGGGUCGGGGAGCGUACGGAGGCCAUGCGCAGUGCGCACCCGGGCUUACUUUAGGUAUUGGCUGCGGAAAAAAACCGACCGGGCCACAAAAGUCAAACGGUGAGUGAUGAAGUACGGUUACGGUGGACUGCAGUUGGAGGGAGUUGGUCAGUGACUGUUAACUGACUUGGGCGGUGAACCCAAUGGACUUGUGGAUAUGAAUUAAGGCCCGUUUGAUAAUUAUUUUUUUAUUUAAAUUACGUCGAUAAUUUUACAACAUUUACCAACUCGUGCGGUGCAAGAUAUUUGUAAUUCAGUUGGUUAUGUACAAAAUUUACGAUUCACGUGUAUAUGAGUUAGCGUCUACUUAAAAUUUUAAAAUUGCAUUGGUAAAAAGCUCUUCCAACUUUUAUACAAUUUAGAAGCACUUAUAAGCAUGUCGAAUAUGACACAACUUCAUCUUCUUCUUUUUUGUCCAGGACACAACUUCAUCUAAAAAACGUUUUUUAGUUCGAAAAACAUUUUCUAUUAAACAGUGUCAAAUACAAAUACAUAAACUGUGUCAACAAUACUUUCAUUAACAAAUAAACACAUUUUGAUAAACUAGGUCAAAAGCGCUUUUGGUAGCAAAAAUACUUUAUCCUGAAAGAAAAGCUUUUGAUCGCUUGAAAGUUACGUUUGAGACAAAUUUUGGACAGCUAAGAGUGCUUUAUGACAUAAAAAAAAAUCACUCCUAAUUACAUUUGGUUGAAAAACUUAUAAGCAUUUUUUAGUCGUAAAAGCAUAAUAGCUCGUUUAUAUGUGUUUUUAAAAUGAUUAAAAACGCUUUUAGAGAAAAUAUUUUUGGAUUCCAAAAGCACUUAAAGUGCUUUAUGCAAGAAGCACCAAUUAUGUGCUUCUUCCAGGAAUCACCAAUUAUGUGCUGCUUCCAGGAAGCACUUUAAGUGUUUUUCCAAGAUUUAUUUGCAUUUUUACUAAGAAUUAAUUCUAAAACAUGUUCACCAAAAACAUUUUCAAUCAUUUUAAAAACACAUCCAAACGAGUUACAAGUGUUUUUAGUCUAAGCAAUAUCAAACAACUUUCGCAAACAUGCUUUUACUACUUAAGAGCUGAGGCCCACUUAAGACAAACUUACUUGCAUGCAAUCUAAACCACUACUGAAAUAUAUACAUCACAGAGGACCCACUUAAGACAACUUUCGCAGUCUGUGUCUGCGGCAAGGUGCUUUUCCGACGCCGACGGUUAAACAACCGCCGUGGUACGAGGGAACGGAGAGCAGCAGAAUAUAUAGUAGCUUUACCACUACUGAAAUAUACAUCACAGAGGACCCAAAAGGUCACCAGUUCUUAUUGCCACCACAGAGGACCAAAAAGGUCACGAGUUCUUACUACUAGCAAGAAAAGCAAGCAGCGAAUCACAGUGAUUUCUGCCUACAUUAUUGAACACAAACACAUUAACAUCGACAUGUAAAUAGGAAAUACAUUGGAUGCAAGUGCAACGCAUCGACAUUCUGCUCCUACAGCUUGGAAGCUGCAUCGUGAUCUAAAAACCAAGUUACCUCGUCUUCAGCUGCGAGCAACUGAGCAGGCAAAGUAUCAGGAUGCUGAAUAUUUCCGAGUGCUUUCUGCACGGCAUCAGCUGUGUCAUGGCCUGUCACCACCAUUGCAUUGUAUGCAGCAGAGUUGAUCACCGGAAAAGUAAAAGUAAUUCUCUGUGGAGGUGGCUUUGGGGAGUCCAUAAUGUGAGUCACCCAUUUCGUCUUCUCGUUGCAAAGCGCAUGACCAGGGAAUAGAGAAGCAAGAUGUCCAUCUGGACCCAUACCCAGAAGUAUGAGAUCAAACUUUGGAAAUCCAGUAGCUUUUGAAGUGGCAAUCACAUUGCGCUGGACCAAAUGUUUAAGACAGGUUUCGUAAUCUUCUGCUGCUGCCUCGGCCGAAAGUGCAUCAUUAAUGGCGUAAACCUGACCAGGGGGAAUCAGUACCUGCCAAAAUCCAAAAUUUAGCAAGAUUAAGCUGAUGAAUUAACGACCUUGUGCCAUUAGGCCCUUGGAGGGCUUAGAAUGCUUUAGAUCAUAGUCACGCAUCAAAUGUUUACUCUAGACAGAGUUAAAAGAGUACAUUUCUUUCUUCAUCUCAUAACCAUCAUCAUUGCCAUAUCGAACCCUAAAAACAGAAGCACGACCCGAAAUUCCCAAAUUUCAGAUUGUCCAUUAAUUACACUGAUACAAAGAGCCAUAUCACUCACCAAUCUCAUUCACAUAUAAAUCAAAUUACUAUGAAUCUUCACAAGGAGCAAGCAAAACAAUAAGAGCAACUAAAAUUAAAAAUCGACCACAUAAAAAUCACGGCUUUGACACGCAAUAUUGCAAAAUUUAGUACUUUGACACAGCAUUCAGAAGAAAGCAUAAAAAAUUGUACCUUACAGAGCAAACCAUCAAAAGCAAGUUUAUAGUUACUGUCGGGGUGAUCCUUCUUCACCACUCUCUCGUCCAGCCAGAACACAUGCCAUUUCCCCCACUCCACCGUAUCCUUAUACGGCUCUUCCGCUAAUUUCCUGUAAAUCCAAACAUACAAAAUACCCACAACAAUACAAGAAAAGAAAAAAGCAGUAAACAGAACAAUCAAACUUGCUAUUGGACAACCAAAAACGCUUCUAAAUAGGCAACAAAAAUGAAUGGCGCUUAUGGGUCGUGGCAGGAAUGCUUACAAUAUAAGCAGACCCAACUUCUCGAGUAAGUACUUGAAUUAAUAGCAUGUCUAUGAUAAACAAAUUUCUUCUAGUAGAAGUGCUUAGAACAUAAGCAGACCCAAAAGCACAGACUUUUCGAGUAAGCACGUGAAUUAAUGAACAUUUCUACAUGUAUACGAUAAAAUCACUCCUAGCAGAAGUGUUUACAGAAGAAGCAGACCCAAAAGCACGUACUUUUCCGGUAAGCACUUGAAUUAACAAAAUUGUUUAUGAUAAAAUCACUUCUAGCAGAAGUGCUUACAACAUAAGCAGACCCACCAGCACAUACUUUCGAGUAAACAUUUGAAUUACUAAGCAUUUCUACAUGCUCAUGAUACACUUCUAACAGAAGUGCUUAUAACUAACCUAAGCAGACCGAAACCAAUCCGAAAUUAUCAAAAAGAAAAUGCUUGAGGGGGUAUGUUUCUGACCUGAGCGUGUAAAUGAGAGAGCCGCCGGACAAGACGACGGUAAAAACUCCCCUCUCCUUCACAAACUUGGCCGACAGGUCGGCGGUGUACUUCGCCAGACGCACCGCCACUUCCUCCUCCGUCUGAAACUUCUCCACCUUCUUCUCACACUGGCCCGCCAUCUCUGCCUACGCCGAUGAUGCGGAAAUUGGGUUCUUGAAAUUCGAGCGAACGGGUUUAAUCGAGGGGAUGGAGAUCUUGGUGCCGAUCGGAUUGAGAUUAUUCCCGGCGCUCGAGAUGUAUGCGAUGGGGACAGAGUUGUGCGGAAUGAGAGGGAAAGCUGGGUCGGCGGGAAUAUACGGAGGCCAUAAUCGGUGCGCAACCAGGCUUACUUUAGGUAGUGGCUGAGGAAAUGGCCGACACGUGUCGAAAGACAGGUCAAUUGUCUAUUAUCAACCACAUCGAUAUUGUCUUCCAUUUGUUAAUUAUUUCCAGUCUGACAAUUAUGAAAUUUUAUCACAAAAGACCAUAGUAUUAGUUGAAGUGUGGUUAGAAUAUUUAAACUUUUUCUUCAUAGAUACGUAUGGUAGUUGUGAGAUAUUUUAUCACGUCCCUCAUGGGCUAUAGAUUAGGAUAUCUCAUUACGCUUGGAACCCAAUUAAUGGGUCAUACUUGGGAGGUCUACACAUCAGAGGCAGAUUGUCUGCCCUCCUCUUUGGGUAUCAUUCUCAUCCCCUUCUAUUUUGUGCAGUCACGGUUAAGCCACGUCAACAUUUUAUAUUAAUUUUUUUUAUAGAGAUAAUAAGACAAAAAACAAUAAGAAUAUAAAAUGUUGACAUGACUUAACCGUGACCACACAAAUAGAAGGGGAUAAAAGGGCAUCUAAAGAGGAGGGUAGACAAUCUGCCUCCCUACACAUCGGUAGCCAAGUAGAGCCAAUGAGACACCCUACCCGCGGGGCCAAGGACCCACCCAUCACGUGACAGUACGGCACCCGCUCCAUGGCUUUGAUACCAUAUUGAAAUCUUCAUAGAGACAGGUCAAAAGUUCACUUGCAAAAAUAUAUUAUACCGAACUUGUUAAUUACCUACCACUUGCAUAGUUUAGCAGGUGUGGGGCUUAAUCCAAAAAAUCCUCGGUAUUAAUUGGAGGAGCGUUGGAUAUUUAAACUCUUUCUUUUAUUACAGACAUGGUUGAUGUAAGAUAUUUCAACAACAGGAACCCAAACAACAAAAGGCGAGUGAGGCUGUGUAGUCGGUUGGAAUUGAUCAGUAACGUGUGUUGGAGUUUUUGAUAGAAAUCUCCUUCUAGUUCAUUGUCCCACGUUAAUGACUAUCAAAAGUUUCUCACUUUAUAACAUUUUGUCCAAGUGAUUAGAGAGAUGGACCGGAACAAACUCCUAGUAUAAACAACAGUAGAGCAAACCAGUUUUGCUGCUGCCAGGAGCGAGACACACACAGAGACGGGGGAGAGAAGAAAGAGAGCCGGAGAAUAUGCAGAUCUUUGUGAACCCUAACAGGGAAGACUAUCACCCUCGAGGUGGAGUCUAGCGACACCAUCGACAAAGUCAAAGGCCAAGAUCCAAGACAAGGAAAGUAACACCAUCCACACGUAAGAUGUUUGAACACAGAGAUUGCAUGACAAAAUGUCACCACUUCUUAUUUACAAGCAAGAAAUACUGAAAGUACAUGACAGAGGACCAAAAUGGUCACCUCUUCUUAUUUACUAGCAUAGCAAGAAAAGCAAGCAGUGAAUCACAUUGAUUUCUGCCUACAUUAUUGAACACAAACACGUUAACAUCGACAUGUACAUAGUAAAUACAUUGGACGCAAGUGCAACGAGUUGCAAAGCCAUCGACAUUCUGCUCCUACAGCUUCGAAGCUGCUGCUUGGUCUAGGAACCAAGUUACCUCCUCUUCAGCUGCAAGCAACUGAGCAGGCAAAGUGCAAGGAGGCAAACUAUUUCCAAGUGCUAUUUUCACGGCAUCCGCUAGAUCAUCACCCGUCACCACCAUUGCAUUAUAUGCAGCAGAGUUGAUCACUGGGAAGGUAAAAGUAAUCCUCUGUAGCGAUUGAAUCAAUAAUCUGAAGGCCAUCUACUAGCACUGCUUACUUCUACUUAAGUUGGAGAUAGGUCCUAAUAUUAAGAUGGUGGUGGCUUUUUAUUUGGUGCGUGGCGGAUAUCUAGAGUUAGGCUAGUUAUUUUUGGUUUGUAACUGUAUCAACGAUUCAAAAUAGGCUCAAUUGAUAUCAGUUCACAUGUCUCCUAUUUUCGUCAUUGAGGUUAAUAUAAAGAGGUAUUCGUCGAUUUGCAUCUGAACUUGUAAGACGCUGUCAAUUCACCUCAUGAACUUUACUUUCGCCCAUGAAUUCUCAUAAUUAACCACGUUCCACCCUACUGUUUAUACUUACAUAGUGCCAUCUAAUAUUUUAAUGUCUCACUGGCUAUCCACGUGAUCACCUAUGAAAGGCUAACCGUGCGACGACGACACAUUUAUAUCAGCUGAUCGUGGCGAAACGACCACCUACGUCGUCGUGGGCUUCGCCUCCAAGCUCUUCCACUCUUCUCCAACCCCAAAUACGAAUGCUAAUGGGCCUCGGACCUCGACCCUACUCAUCUCCCAAACCGGGUACAAAUCCUCCCCUAAUCAGGCUACGACCGCAUCUAUGCGGUCGUGAUCGUCAACUGAACAUCCACCACCUCGUAAGCGCAGCUCUUCUGGUGGCAGAGAAAGUCCUAGUUUCCGGCCUGCAUCGAGCCUCACGAAGCUCAUCACAACCAUCCACCUAGCUCCCUACCUGCCACAUUGAGGUCGACUUCGACGAGGUGUUCUAGUGGCACAAGUAUUGUACGAUGUGUCAUCGAGGGUGCUGUUCACUAUCAAUGAGGGGGAAUAACCUCCGGCGACGACUGGAGCUUCAAACCUGUUACCACUUGAAAUUUGUAGGUUAACAAAUUAAAAUACUAAAUUCUUGGUGAGCGUGGGAUAUGAACUGAAUGAAAUAAACUCAAAGAUUUAAGUGGUUCAUCUUUUAAAAAUGAAAUACAUCGACUAUGUUUCUCAAAUUAUAUUGAUUUCAAAACUAAAAAUAGGGCUAGACUAACACAUGAACUCUCUCGUAAAAGCAUACGCGGCUUUCAGUCUAAGCAGCAUCAAACAAGCUUUUACUAGUUCACCAAAAAAAAAAAGAGGAAAACUAACGAAAAGUUCAAAAAAACUUCCUUUUUAAUAAAAAGAAAUUUUUAAAGGUAUAGUGAAUAGUAUCAGGGAAAUGUAUAAAUGUGACUUUCGUUAAAAGUGAACAAUACCGAUAGUGUUUUGUUAAAACUUAAAAAAAAAAACCAAGCUUUUACUCUGUUUGGGCUGAGGCCCACUUAUUUUAUAUUAAAAAACACAAGCCCAUUUCUAUCUUCAUUUUUUGGUGGGAAGCCCAUCAACGAGCAAAACCCUAGAUAAACAACCGUAGAGCAAAACAGCUUUGCCGCCGCCGAGAGCGAGACACACACAGAGAGACAGAGGGAGAGGAAGAAAGAGAGCCGGAGAAGAUGCAGAUCUUCGUGAAAACCCUAACAGGGAAGACUAUCACCCUCGAGGUGGAGUCUAGCGACACCAUCGACAACGUCAAGGCCAAGAUCCAGGACAAGGAAGGUAACACCAUCCUCCCGUAAUCUAAUCUCUCACAUUUUUUCCGACGAUCAAGUUUCGUGCUCGAAUUCAAAGUAGUACGAUUCAACGGUGAUGAUUUCUCCCCGGUAAUUGUUUUGUUUUUGUUUAGGUAUUCCACCGGACCAGCAGAGGCUCAUUUUUGCCGGGAAGCAGCUCGAGGAUGGCCGUACUCUCGCCGACUACAACAUCCAGAAAGGUUAGCAUUGUCUUAUCCCUUGUUUGGUUGCUCAGAAAAUUUUAGGAUAUGUUUGCUUGUGAAGAAUUUAAUUUAAUUUUGAGGUGUUAAUUUUUGGAUAUAUACAGUGUAAAUUUGGAAAAUGAGUUUUCGAUAUAUGUUUCCGGUUGCUAUGUGAUUGUGUUUGGAUCAUUUUACCUCGAGAAGUUUAGUAUCCAAUUUGUAUUAGCAUUACUCGAAGCGAAAUGAGCUAACGGAAGACUUGACGCAAAGCGUUUUAGGAUUUUACAGCCGAUCCCACUUAGUGGGAUAAGGCUUGGUUGUUGUUGUUUUACUCGAAGCGAAAUAUUUUCCUGUUUCUAUGUGAUUAUGUUUGGAGAUAUUCCACCUUCAGAAGUUUAUUACCCAAUUUAUAGUAGCUUUAGUUGAAGGGCUCGGGGCCGGGUUUGCACCUGCUGAUGGCCUGGUUUAUUCAUGUUGCUGGUGAUUUGUUGCGUGUUUAUACUUGUGUAUAGGUGCUUUCUGUUUGUUUAUGUUUCUAUGUGAAAUAUUUUCCUGUUUCUAUGUGAGAUUAUGUUUGGAGAUAUUUCACCUUCAGAAGUUUAUUACCCAAUUUAUGGUAGCUUUAUUUGAAGGGCUCGAGGCCGGGUUUGGACCUGCUGAGUGCUGAGGGCCUGGUUUAUUCACGUUGCUGGCGAUUUGUUGUGUGUUUAUACUUGUGUAUACGUGCUUUCUGUUUGUUUAUGUUUCACUGAUUGAAAGUUUAUUUUGAUUAUUUUUCUCAGAAUCAACUCUGCAUUUGGUUCUAAGGCUUCGCGGUGGGAUUAUUGAGCCUUCUCUCAUGGCAUUAGCUAGGAAGUACAACCAGGAAAAGAUGAUCUGCCGCAAGUAAGUUCCAACUGAUUAAGCUUUUCUUUAUUUCUUUCGAGACAUAAUCGAUGUGUUCAUUUGGAUGAGGAUUUGUAUUCUAAAAAAAGAGAAUGCGGAUGAGUAUUUAAUUUAUGCUUAAGCCCAAGCCAUUCAAUCCGAAUAUGAUUGAGCGUCCAACAUUCGUUAGUUUGAGAGCUAUUUUACUUUUCUUUGAUUCUCAUUGUAUCUCACGUAUAUAAAUGCUCGUGAGCAGGUGUUAUGCACGCCUGCACCCCCGUGCCGUGAACUGCAGGAAGAAGAAGUGCGGACACAGCAACCAGGUAUUUCAUAUAGCCGAGUGAUGUCUGUUUGAUCCUACUACCAACCGUUACUUUUUAAGGUUUGGUUCUUUAUUCGUGUCAUCUUUUAUUAAUGCAGCUUAGGCCAAAGAAGAAGAUCAAGUAAACUGGGAAUCGAGACAGCGGAAUGUCGCAUCUUUUUGGAUCAUUUAGGUCUUGGACAUUUUAUUUUAAAGCUUUGUUAGCGUCAACCAGGGUACUGUUAUAAGGUUUAGCAUCAAUAUUUUUCAACUUGCUUUGGAAUUUUUCUCUGUGAUGUUGCGUAAUCUUGGCGUUGUUUAAACUUCUGUUUGGACCCAAUUUUGCACCAUCGACCCGAGCAAUUGAGGCCGUUGAGUGAGUAGUUCUAGACCAUUGAGUACGUGAGAUGUUAAGAUAAUUUUUAGUUAUUAUUGAGUUGAGUGAUAAUAUCAUGAUUUUUAAUCAUGAUAAUUAUCUCUUAAUAACUUACUAAAUUAUCUUGCCGCAUUCGUAUCCUAAAUAAAAGGAGGUUGCAAGCAGCAAUUCGCUUACCAGCACCAUUGGACUCUACAAUAUCAUCAAGCCUUGCCAAGCCGCAGGAAUAUGCAUACUUGAAAGAUAAUAUUUGUUUAUACCAUAUUUAGGUUAGAGAGAGAGAGAGAGAGAGAUGGGAGGUAAUUGCAACAACACCGUUGAAACCGAAGCUGGUCGCUGGGGACGUUGUCGAUGAGAUUGAUCUGAUCGUAGAGAGAGAAGGCGCGUCUCCGCUACGGCAGCGAUUGCGGGUUUGCAGGUUUCGGGUGGGCUUCCUUCUGGAGGCUCCGAAUGAGGUCCGGCAGUGCCUCCAUGGCUCUCACUCUCAUCCGCAUCUCUCCCUCUCUGAUAUUUCGCAUCAGCUUUUUAGCGAGCAGCAGCUUUUGAUUUCCCCAGGAGAAGGAGAGGAUGAGACGCUGUAUAAUGCAGAAGGAGAAAAGAGGGAGGUGCUGGAGGAGAAUAUGCCAUCCAACGGAGCAGCAACUUGAACGGAGCUAAAGCGAGUGCAGAUUCUGAUGAGGAGUGUUUUGAUGAUGCAGGGAUUCUGAGGACACUGGAUUACCUUGGAAUUUCUCCGUUUGUGUUUUUGUGAUUUUGCAGAUUCACGGUGGAGGUGAAAAAAUGAAAAAGAACCGACACAAUUUUUCGUAUCGAUUCCCACCGACGGCGCUAAAUGUUAAUGCACAAAACCAGAGGUCUUGAAACAACGUAAAUCCGACCGUGAAUCUGCAUGAAAUGUAAAUAACACAAGAUGUAUCGUGGUUCACCUCAAGGUUUGGGCUACGUCCACAUUUAUUUGAGGGAGUGAGAGCUCUGAGAGAGAGCUUUGAGAGAGGGUGAGAUGGCCUAGGAAUUGGCCUCCCCCAAUUGUGAGGGUGAGGGGUCCUUUUAUAGAAUAAAGACUCCUCACUUAUUAUAUAUUUGCCUAUUCUUUUAUUACAUAAUUACAUUUAAGUUCCCAAGUAUUUGUACGAUAUCUAAAUACGAGGCUUUAAAUAUGGUAUAAACAAUAUUCAUGUUAUCUUGGAAUUGGCUACUGAUGAAUUAUAAAUACAGAGUCGUAGGCCACAUUGAAAACCUCCUUCCAAAUCAACACACAAAUUGCCUUGCGCAAAGCUUCUUAACAACCCUGAGAUUUUUUCCUCUCUCCCUUUCUUCUCGUCAACACAUCAUCAGUUUGGAUAAACAACAUUGGGAAGGCAAUCGGCGACAUCUUCAGUUUGAUAGACAACACUGGAGUCGUAGAAUCAAUUGACUGAGAAGCACUUUCAGUUUGGAUAGACUACACAGCUUCGAGACCGAUUGGUUAUUUAUGUAAGUCUUGGUUAACAAGGAUUUUCGAGUCCUUGUUGGUAAAGUUCAUCUCAUCAGCAUUCUCGGUAAAGUGAGGUGUUACCAGGUUACUACAUUUGGCACAUUGAAAGUCGAAUUUGAAAUUGAACUUCGCUGAACUAGCAGCCUUGUCUUCAGGCUCUAGAACCCGAAGGUCGAUACGUGUUCCUUUCUCAGCCGCAGUCGCAAGAUCAAAAAGUCAGCAGCGCGCCCAAUGCCAAAUCAACAUAUUUUACUCCCCGGCCGAAAUCGGCCGACUAGUUGAUACGCCCCGCGGACAACCGAAUGACAUAAUUAACUUAUUAAUUACUCGUCCUACGCGUCAUGUAAGCUUGAUAGUUUUUACCAUCAACUUCUUACUAUGAGAAAUGGCAUUCAAAAGCAAUCGCUUUCCUUCCAUUUCUUCAUUACCACAUUCUGAAACGGAUAAACCAAAUUUACAAGUUGUGCGAUGAUUUGAUAGGUUCAUCUCUUCUGUUCAUCUGUUCAAGGAUAAGAUCAGAAUUCGCAUCAACUUGUCUGGAAAAUGUUUUGGAUCAUCUUCCGUCUUGUUCAAUCUGCAGUUGCCCAAUGUAACUGUCCUUUUCCAAUUUGUUCGAUCUGCGUCCGAUCGAUCGAGGCACUGAAAACACAAUAGGGGAAGGCCAAAAUUAAAAAAAUGAGCCUGAAUUGACAGCUGUGGGAUUUGAACCCACGCCCUUUCGGACCAGAGCCUAAAUCUGGCGCCUUAGACCACUCGGCCAAACUGUCAUGUUUCGUCGUUCUUAACAAAAACAAAUUCAUAUUAUACUAAGAGCAGUUCCAUCAGUUAAGAAGAACAAAGGGCAAGGUAGUUAAGUUGGCCUUAUUAUUCACUAUAAAUAGUACUUGCCUAUGUGCGCUUCAAUCCGUUGGGCAAGGGAAAUGGCAAGUCAAUUACUAUUCACCAAUGUAAUUUUUUUUCUUCUUUAGGUUGUUUUGUUGGCUUUAUCCUUCACGUGUUAUAUUCGUUUUAAAUUUCCGAUAGUUCACUUCAUAACUUUCUACGCGUUCACUUGCAUGUAAUUCGUAAUGGAAUAACCCAAUUUCAGGAAUUUGAUUAACUAGGGGAGGUGUUAAUCCAAUUCCCUUUCCUUACUUUUUUCCAUUCCGAAGUUAUUCCUUAUUUUCCUCUUACCGAGAAGUAAACGAAGCAUGGUGACAGCGGAUAAGUAACUGAUUAGUUUUGGUGCAACAUGAAUCAUACAAACUAUGAAUUAGAGUCCCACUGAUCUGUUGCUUUUUUCAUGCAAUCUCUCGUGACCCUGCAACGCACACAAACACACAUACACUCAUGCAUGGAGGGCACAAAGACGUCCAUCCAUCGCUUAAAUUUUGCUUCUUCCCAGUUAUGUUCUCCAAACAACUGCCUGUUGUAAUAUUCUUUGCUCUCAAGGAACGCGAGAGCAAAGAAUACUAGUCUCUGCAGAACAAUUAGCGGACCGGAUUAUGCAAUAGCUCGACAGAUGUAAGCUCAAGAACGAUGUUAACUGGCUUACGCUUAUCAAGCUGCUGAAUAAUCCGGUUCGCUUACUGUUCUACAUCUAACUCAGCAGAAGAUGUAAGUUAAGGCGUCCACACCUCACUUAUGCUUUAGUUUAGAAGGAUCAAUACAUUGAUUAUAGUAAAAAUCUUCACUCUAAAUAUUACACCAAACUUUUAUAUGCAGGGUGUUGGGGGAAGGGGGGGUGUUGAAAAUUUCAAGCCCAGAAAUUUAACCAGUGUAAAUUACAACGUGAUGGAUCAAACAAAAUGCUGCCUGAAUCCAGCCUAUGCAAUUCUUGAGGUGUCGCAGAGGCAUCCAAUUGACCUAUCUUCAGAAGCUCAUCAUGUCUUUCAUCUCCAUACUCCCCACCAACAUCAUUGCUUGUAUGUGAAUCUAUGACUCCUCUCCGCUCCAAUUCCUCUUCUAGUCUUACUUGAGCAGUCGUCUCACAAUUCCCAUCUUUGUAACUCGAUCCAUCCGCCGUCUGAUUCAUGAGAGAAUCUUCGGUAGGGGCGCCAUCUCGAGAUGUUCCCACAAGAUCAUUCAACUUCUGCAACUGCUCAAAAUAACCAAAAAAAAAGAUGUUUAAUGUUGACGACCAAGCUAGAAAUUUAGAAUGCAAUUUCAUGAACAACGUUUGGCUCCUUACAUAUAAAUGCAAAUCACAAUCUGAUAGAACAACUUAUGCACGCAUGUCAAACCGUGAUUUUAUGUAUAAACAUGAUCGUUCUCACAUGAGAGGAGCCAAGUGUUUUUUCCUGAUUUUCAAAUUAUGAGAAACUGAAUAAGUUUAUUUACUUUACCUGCAUAAGCAAGGACUGCUUCUCCUCCUUCAAAGAUUCAAACCGACAUGCUAACUUGUCAUAAUCUUCUCUGAGACUUCUCAAGUCCCGCUCCAUCUGUUUCGACUUCCAUCUAGCUCUUCUGUUCUGAAACCAUAUGGCAACCUGGCGAGGCUGCAGCCCAAGCUCUCUUGCCAAUUGCACCUUCCUCCUCGGCUCGAGCUUCGAGUCUGCUUCGAAUAUAGACUCCAACAAACUGAUUUGUUCGUCGCUAAAUCGCCUCGUGUUUGUGCCCUUGUUCUUCUUCCUUUUCGUCGCGAACUGCGGCUCUGGGCCGCUCACAUAAUCCAAGUUUUCUUCUUCAUAGCACUCCUCUUUCCUCCUUUCCAUGACUCUGAUUCUCGGUUUUCAGUCCGAUCUUGGACUUGAUUGAUAUCGACUUGAAAUGUUCUCGACAAUUGUUGAAAUAUUAAGUAACGUUAAAUUUAUAAGUGGAUGUGGCUUAGGAAUCUUGGUAACGAUGUGAGCUUCUAGCAUAUAUAGUAAGGGUUGAAGAGUCUAUCUUCUCACUCACGCGGUUGCUUUCUUAUAAUUGGAAGUUGUUGAUUGAUAGGUUAUCGUAGGCUAAACCAAUGGUGUUAGCUAGCGUAAGCCACCCUUCAUUUCAUAAUUUCUUGCCUUGUGGACCUCUCCAAUUCGAGAAAUUUUUCAGUAUGCCGAAAAUACAGUUUGAUACACCAAGUAUCGUAAUACAAAUUGUUAGAUUUUUUUUAAGUAUCCAAUCACUUGGUGUAUCAGACUGUGUUCUUGGAAAAUUGAAAAUUUUAUCCUGUUCACUGUUAUCUUUCUUUCUUUCCCAUCUCUAGAAAUACCAGUGUAUGUAUGUUUCUUGCAUGCACAAAGCACACAAUUUUGGCUUGUUUUGUGCUUUUUUUGGGUGGAAAUAAUGAGAAAAAGUAGAUGCAUUACACAAUCUACAGGAUUUGAAAAGAAGAAACUUGAACUUGGGUUGCUUGUUUAGGUGUCGAUUUGUAGUCCGUAGAUGAUGUCCCAAUUGCCAUUCACGUACCAUAUAUACUUUUUGCUUUUUGACAAUGAGCACCCAAUAAUACAAGGACAAGGAUUGUCUGCCAUCCUACUUUCAAUGCCCUUCAGUGUCCUUCUGUUUUGUGUGAUCACGAUUAAGCCACGUCAACAUUUUAUAUUGUUUUUUUAUGAAGAUAAUAAGAUAAAAAUGAAUAGUAAUAUAAAAUGUUGAGUUGGCUUAACCGUGACCACACAAAUAGAAGGGUACCGGAAGGCACCGGAAGUGGGAGGGCCGACCAUCAUUGUCUAUAACACAAACACUAGUGUUCUAUUAAUUUUUCAAUUCAAUUAUGAUAAAAUCUUGUCCGUCACCUGUGAUACUAUUUACAACCGAUGAAACUGCAUAAUCUCUCGACUGCCAUAUUAUUUAAUUUGUCUAAAUCAUAGGCAUAAAAAAGUUGGCACUCGCAAAAUCGUACAUCAAAAGAUUAAUAUAUAGAAGAUUUGUAAUUUAACGGUGCAUAUUUCAUCUAUCAUUAUUUUUUUAUAUACUUUUUGACAAUAGGAAACACCAACAAUUCAAAUACUCAUGCCUUUUUCUUGACUCUUGAGUGCAACAUAUAUUUACAACGUGGUAAACACUUACAUCAAAAGAUUAAUAUAUAGAAGAUUUGUAAUUUAACGGUGCAUAUUUCAUUUGUCAUUAUUUUUUUAUAUACUUUUUGACAAUAGGAAACACCAACAAUUCAAAUACUCAUGCCUUUUUCUUGACUCUUGAGUGCAACAUAUAUUUACAACUUGGUAAAAUCUUAUCGUCAAAUAUGUACAACUAAUGACAUGGCAAAACCUCUAGACCAUAAAAUUUAUUAACUCGCAUAUUAUUCAUAUUAAAAAACUAAAAGUAAUGUGACUAAGUAUGACUUGCAUGAUGAAACAUACUAUACAAAUAUUUCACUUUCAAAAAUAUCUAACAUGUCUAUAGAAAAUUGAUGGUCGCACAUAUGGCAAGUUUUGGUUAAUAUUCAAUUGUGUCAUGAGUUGUAUAUGGUCGUGUAAGAUAGGAUGAUGGCAACUUUAGAUGAAGAUAAAAUUGCGUCGCCUAAUGCCGACAAACGAAAGGAUCGGUUUCAAUACACUUGUCAAGUUAAAUCAAAAGGAGAAAGCAAAGGCCAAUGCUUUUUCAAUAAAAGCCAAUCAUAUCGGUGGGGCUUUCUGCACUGAUGUCUCUCACUCCUCCAUUUUGUUUGGUUUCUAGUGCUUAGUUUCAUCCUACUCAAUCGAUGCGUCCAUUUUCUAUAUGGCUAGGUCCAGUGUCUUUCAGGGUUCCAUGGUUGGUGUGGUGUCCUCUCCAGACUCCCAUGAGACGUGCUCACUCCUCUCAAAUUCAUGCAUGCCUUUUGGGAUUAGGUCACACUUGCACGCCACGGGAGCACUUUAUCGUUUACAAUGUGGCAAGAAAUAAAAGGGUCAUGUUAGAAUGGUUAAAAGCAUUUUCGGAAUGAUUUGGGAAGUGUACUGGCAAAGUUUUUAUUGACAUAAUGUUCAACAAUACUUUUACGCCAUGUUUGAGACUACUUUUUAAAGGAUUAAAAGUUUUAUUUGAUAAUUGAAAUUUCUUUUACUUAGCUUGGCGGAAAACAUUUAAAAUGCUUUUGAAAUAUAGAAGCAUAUCUGUAGAAUCACCUAUUAGAUCCUAUUUCAUAAAGCAUUUGAAUUUAAUAAAAUUUCAACGUGUUUCUAAUUAAAACACUUCUAGCAAAGCAUUUUAAAUAAAAGCAAUCCCAUAUCAGCUUUUAGAAGGGUCUCAUUAAAUAAAAAGCGUUGUGAUUCAAGAAAGUUACACAUAAAAGCAAUUACAAGCAAGUGUUUUCUAGUAACUUCAUAAGCGGCCUAAAGUGGACUUCCGUUUUCAUUAGGUUUCCAGUUUGGAAUCAAAGUAAAAAUGGAUUAGCUCGAUCAUGAUAGAACUUAUGUAUUGAUUCUUAAGCAAAAUUCUGGUUUAAGAACCAAUUAAUGAACUAAUUAAAAACUCAACAGAAAACAAAACUGUCCUCCAUCUUGGCCUAACUGGUGGCCUCAUUUAUGUCGUCUGAGUAUUGAGCAAGCUGGGACAAAAAAAUUGUUAUCCAAGUCCAGGAUACUUGGCUGCAUUUCGUGCCAGGACUGGUGAACUCAGGAUAAGCAUAACAUGGAUUAGCAUUUAUUGUCGUCCGGGUAAGUCUGGUGUAGAUGUGAUGUGGCUAACCUGAACAAAUUCACGCUGUUUUUACUUGUCAAAUAUCGUUAAUUCGUCUUUGGUAUUUAGGUGCUUUGUGAGGACACGUUUCGGGGAGCGAUUCGAGCCAAAUGUCAGUCUCUGCCGUCGACAACAAGCGGGCAAAACUUUGGGGGCCAAAAAAUCUUUAAGUGAUGACUUGCGUGGCUCUCGAACCAUUAAGAAGAAGGGAUUGGAUUGCUGUCGUUGUUGCAUGAUUUCAACAUCAAUAGUUCACCUUUCCUUAAUUAAAUGUAGAUUGUGUAAGAAUGUGAAGGUAAAAGACCAUCACAUUGGUGAAAGGAGAAACUUUGCAUUGAUUUAUAAGAGGUUGGGUUACUCCUCAUAUUGCCAAUUAAUUGUAUAGUGGAGUCUCAACUCUUUUCCGAUUGACGAUUAACUAAUUUGAUCCAUUACCUUGUCCCUCAAGUUAAAAAUAGCCUUAGGGUUUGUAAACCAUUUGUUUCUAUUUCACCAAAUGAAAGAAGAAAUAAAAACAAUUACUUCAAUUACCUUUAGAUGCAACAAGAAACAUGGAGGCACACGUGUCUUGAUCAAACGGUAGGCGAAGUUCCUAUUGAUCACCAUAAGAAAAUAAACUUAUUAGACAUCUUUGUUAAUAUUUCUCUAACCCAAAUAUUAUAAGCAUGUUAUCUCAAAUAAAAGUAAAUAUACAAAGCAUUAGCAUCUAUAAACCGGAUGGAUUUUCAGAACUUGAAGACGAUGACAAUUUUCUAGUACUUCCAGCAAUCCAUCAUACUGGAGGAUCCCCCAUGAGCAACCUAUUUCCAAACAGGUUAGGCAUUUCGACACUGGCAUAACAGCUGCAACUCCAACAUAUGGAUUCUGCACAGGCUAUUUGUUCGAAUAAUUAAUAUUUUUUAGGAAUAAUUUGCUUAAGGUCACAUAAUAUUUUCAAUAAUUAAGAUUGGGUCAUCUGACGCCACUCAGUACUAUGGUCUGGUGGUAUUCCUCUUUACUUGUAAGUGAAAAGUCUUAGAUUCGAAUCUUGUAGAUGACGAAUUCGAUACCAAUUUAGGUUGUCUAUUGUGGGAUUUAACCGAACUCCCAUCCCCGUAGUGUAAAUUAUAUCGUUGUACUAAAAAAAUAUAUAUAUAUAUAUAUAUAAAUAAUUAGGUCAUGUCUGACACUUUAGCGACAAAGAUAUAGGAUACUAGAACAAAAACAAAAAUGUAAUGACAUAGAAUUACCCCGGGAAAAUAUAAGAUUUUGAAGACAAGAGGAGAGUUUUGUUGUACUUUCUUCAGUUCGUUAGGAAAGAAACCCAGAUUUUCAAAAAUCGUAUUGAACUUGGUUAGGACGUUCUUGAACACAGGAAUCGAAUCUAAGAGUUUUCUUCACCAUAAAAUUUAGUAUAACAACAUAGGGUAAUUUCAACUUUACUGUCCUCAUGUUUCGUAAAACAAAUAACUUCGACCACCUUGAGAUGCGACAAGAUAUAUCUAUCUUAACAACAUGCUCAACAUUCCCGAUUGAUAGAUAGAUAAAAUUCCUGAUUGAUAGAUCAACAUUCCCGAUUGAUAGAUCAGAUAUUUUUAGGUUCCCGUAACAACAUGCGAUAAGAGAUCGUCAUGGAAAGAGAUUCAAAUAUUUUAGUCGAUAUUUUGAAUCAUAAAGCUCAAGUUCCAUGGCGUGUUCGAUCAGUCGUCGGUUCUACAAGACAUUUUAAACCAUAGAGAGAAACGAACAUGAUUGCAAACGGUUUUGCUAUAUUACGACCUUAUUACUACCAUUCAUGUGUAUGGUUCACUAAUUUUCCUAACAUUGUUAUUUCCAUAAUACAAUUUGCUACAUAUGGUUAAAGAUUUGUAGAUGAUCUUGAUUGUAAUUUGUCUGUUUCUAAAGGAAAACAUAGCUAUUGCUUAACUUGAGAAUAACCAAUAUUAUAAGCAUAUGUGUGUGUGUGUGUGUGUGUGUAUGUAUACCCCAUGAAUUUUCAGAACUUGAAGACGAGGAGUGCUUUGCAGUGCUUUCAGCACUUCGUUACAAUUUCGUCUUACCCACGGGCCACAUGUAUCCCACUUCCAAACAGGUCCACUGCUCGAACAUUGGCAUAUCAUCAACAUUUCGAUCUAUUGGUUUAUUAAUCAAGAAUAAAAUCAAUGAAGACAUAUUAAUUAGCAACAGUAUAAGGACUAAAUAAUAGUAGUAGAACGAAAAAUGCAAUUAUAUUGCAUGUAAUUACCGAGCUCAAUUGAAGAUAUUUAAGACAAGGAGAGUUUUGUAGUAUUUUCCGCACUUCAUUAGAAUUGAUAAAACUUUGAAAGCACAUAUGGUUUAGGAAUUGGAACAUGGGAAUCGCAUCCAAAAGGUUUUCCUCAAUAUCUCCUGGAACCUAAAAAUGUAAAUUUGACAUAAAACAUCAGUGAUACAAUAUUUAUAUUGAGAAACAGAAUAUUUCAAACAUGCAUCUUCGCUUGACAACAUAUGAAGCAACGAAUUUCAAAAGAAGCUACUGUAGUAGAUUGCAUACCUUAAGAUCGAGUUUUUUUUACAUUAGAGAGACAUCCAAGAAGCAUAUAAAUUCGAUAGGUAGCAACUUUAUCACCUAUUACAUAACACUCAAUGCAUGCCUCCUCAAGUGAGGAUUGAUUGUACAAGUAAUGCUCAUUUUUGAAUCUACCAGAGCAUGUAUAAUGUUUGAGAUUAGUUCCAUGAACCAUGACCCGACAACCAUGAUCGAAGUUUCCAAAAGGGGUGUGCUAUCCACACACCUCUUUUUAUUUCUCACACACCCCUUGUUAAUUUCUGUCUUUUGAUCUUCUUCAAUUCCUCUUAUCCGACGGCCGAAAAUAAGAAGGGUGUAUAAAAAGUAAAAAGAGAUGUGUGGAUAUCACACCCCUUUCCAAAAUAAUCUUAAUGUACGGUCAAUCUCAAAAAGUUUUGGUGCACGAAUAUUGACAAUCCUGACGUUCGGCAAGAACAGGAAUUUUGAUAAGCAUAAAUCUUCAAGGACUGGACAGCUAGAAAAUAAUUGAUUGGUCGAUUGUUCAUCCGAGAAUUUAACAAGCUUGAGCACCAAGGUUUUGAGGCUGGAAAAACAUGUUGUAGGGGGACGUUAGAAGACACUAGGCAUGCAUAGAUCUAAAUGCACAAGUGAUUCGCAAGAAAACAAGCAGCAAAGCAACGCAAGUAAUUCUGCAUCCAGUAUUUUGUUUCCGUAAAUGUUUUCAUCAAUGUAGAUAGAUAAAUCCUGCACAUUCCGCAUCUACACCUUUGAUCCAACGCAUAAUGACAGAGGUCAUAGCUUCUUAAUCGUAGUGUUGAUAUAUAAUUAUAACAUGGAAGCUUUUUACGAAAUGUUGAAGAAAAAUUGCCCUAUCCACAUAAUCUGAAAACUGUUCUAUCUUCCGAUCCCGGUUGAAGGGGAAUUUACGCAAGUCAAUGAUGGGAUUGACGUAUCUCCACCUUUUUGAUAAUAUGCUCGUUCUAACUGCUUCUUUAGGGUUGAAGUAGGAUAUCAUGAGUUGAAGAAUGUCGUCAGGUAAAUCACUCAAGCUUCUGUUGCUGCUGCUAAGCUUUCCUGUUUCCAGAUAUUAUUCAUCUUCGGUUAUUCAACAAUAUUAGCUCACCUAAUUUUUUCAUAAAAAAAAAAAAAAGGAACAAAAUUGAGUCACUUACGCUAUAGAAAUUAACCCAGAAAGAGCUUACGGUUUAGAAAUUUCAAGUCGAAGACGCAGCUGAAGAAUUCCAAAUUAUUAAUUUAGAAAUAGUGAACAAGCAGCCAGCAGGACACCCCACUGGCACUCUCCCGUCGCUCCAAUGACUCCAGUCUCUCCGGUCUCCAGGAAACAGAUAUGAGAGCAGAGAGGGAGGUGGUUCUACAAUUAUAUAUGCGCCUUUUUCAUGGGCUUUCCAUAUGGGCCUUUUAAAUCUGGCAUUUUUCUUAGAUUUCUCGGUCCUGUUUUGUUCAUUUUUCAAUUAAUAUUACGAUUUAAUGAGAUUCUCUUAUUGGUAAAUCUACAUUUCUAUAUAAGUCAAAAUUUUUAUUUAAUUCGACUUCCAUGAAUGACGAGUUGGAUAUAAGACUCAAUAAUCAAUUGUAGAAUCCGUUUGAAAAUUAUUUUUAAGUUGCUUUUUCGUUCAUAAGUGUCUCUAAUAAAAACGCUUCUCUUAGAAGGAGAAGCAAACACAUUUUACCUUUAAUCAAGACGCAAAUUAGAGUUUGGCAUCCACUUUUUCACACCCUUUGGACAAGUUGAAGAAUCUUCAACUUCUAAAAAAACCAUUUAAUUUGUUCGAUCACCAAUUAUACCAUAAUCACAAGAAAACUGAGUAAAAACUUUUGAGCUUCAAGCAUUUCAUAUGCACAGUUAUGGAUAUGACGAAAUCCAUCCCAUAAUCUCCAUAAAAAUUAACUUCGACCACCCUUAAUUGUGACAAGAAACAUGGAGAUACACGGGCCUUAUCAUCGUUUAUACUAAAAUUCCUUGAUGGUGAAUUCCAUAUUUUCUAUAUAUUGGAGUUGUGGUAGAUGAUAAACACAUAUGUUAAGACGUUUGAGGUUUUCUUGAUUGUUAAUUAUGUUUGUACCAUACUUGACCAAUUCCGAAACUAUCAAGCACCGGUCAACGUCAUACCUUCAAGGACCCACUGAGGGGUUCAUACUAAGGCACCCCUGCCAAAGCACAAGAGUUUCCCUCCAACCAGGAAGCCAAUCACAGCACGACAAAUGUCAACGUCAAAAUAAAGCUCAUAGAGUCCCACUUCGACCGCAGACAAAAGUUGGAGACUCUCCUCAGCUAUAAAAGAAGACCAUUCUCCUACAAUUAAUCUCUAAUGUCAUUAUUGUACUUAAACCAGUCAUUAGAACUCAUUAAUGAUGAUUAUUCUUAAACUUAUGUAUUUGUGUAAACCCUCCACUAUUAAUGAGAACUCAUCUACCCCGUGGAUGUAACCAAACUGAGGGUGAACCACGUACAUCUUGUAUUUGCUUCUCUAUCUCUAUCUCUUUACAUAUUUAUCCUCACUAGUGACUCGGAGAAACCAAGCGAAUGUCACAAACUUGACACUUUACAUUGUUCCAAAGUCUUCAUUGAUUUUGUGUAUCAACAAUUUCCAUAUUACUAUUGGAGUUGGCUUCAAGUAUUUUGUUUAGUUUUCCUGUGUAAUUUAUCACUCUAGGUAAAAAAUAUAAUAACUAAAGAAUUUAAAGAUGAUAUAGUCAUAAUAAGAUGAGGAUUUAAUUUUAAUGGUUGACUCAAUUUUUUUUAAUACAAAUAAUAUUUUUAUAUUAAAAAGAAAAAAUUUAGAAUAAACUGUGAUAGUUUAGUUCAAAUUCGCUUGAUAAAGAAUAACAUUUAAUAUCUCUUAUGAAAUAAACAGAGUGUGCCCACC